GAUGAACGCUGGCGGCGUGCCUAAUACAUGCAAGUCGAGCGAACAGAUGAGGAGCUUGCUCCUCUGACGUUAGCGGCGGACGGGUGAGUAACACGUGGAUAACCUACCUAUAAGACUGGGAUAACUUCGGGAAACCGGAGCUAAUACCGGAUAAUAUAUUGAACCGCAUGGUUCAAUAGUGAAAGACGGUUUUGCUGUCACUUAUAGAUGGAUCCGCGCUGCAUUAGCUAGUUGGUAAGGUAACGGCUUACCAAGGCAACGAUGCGUAGCCGACCUGAGAGGGUGAUCGGCCACACUGGAACUGAGACACGGUCCAGACUCCUACGGGAGGCAGCAGUAGGGAAUCUUCCGCAAUGGGCGAAAGCCUGACGGAGCAACGCCGCGUGAGUGAUGAAGGUCUUCGGAUCGUAAAACUCUGUUAUUAGGGAAGAACAAAUGUGUAAGUAACUGUGCACGUCUUGACGGUACCUAAUCAGAAAGCCACGGCUAACUACGUG
This 497-nucleotide ribosomal RNA is filed under the name uncultured bacterium. Its description in RNAcentral is "partial 16S ribosomal RNA". It matches the Rfam family "Bacterial small subunit ribosomal RNA", at positions 28 to 507 of the family's 1533-position model. The record is from RNAcentral.